CUGGGGAAAGAGGGAAGAAAAUGAAGUGCUGGUAAAAUAAAGCUGCUUGUCCCUUGGACCAGCAUGUGCUAAGGUGAUUCCUUCACAUCGGAGUGUUUGGAGGGCCUCUUGUUAUGCUUCUAAACCUCUUAUCUUCUGUAAAGGGGUGAUCCAACCCCCAGGUCACAGGAGAAGGGGAUCUGGAGCUGUUUCUGUGCUGUUUCCCUACGUCUGCCCAAGGGCGUGAGGUGUGAGAUGGUUUCAGUCAUGGUGAGAGCAUGGGGGGCUGAGCGGUGGCUCCCAGAGAUGCCCCUGUGUGUGCUGACUGCUUGGGGAGUUGUAGAGAGGUAAUUACAUCUUGGACGUAGUCUGCCCUAAAUAAGGAACAGAAGCCAGAGUGGGUCAUGGUGGUUCUGCUUUUGAAGAUUUUGGUCCCCUUUUUGGCUCUGAAAAUCAGAAAUUGGGACUCUGACAGAUCCUCCUUGGAAGUGGUCCAGAAACAUCUGCUUUGCUCUUCUCUAGAAAAGGGAACCCCUGUCUUAAAGAUGCUUCUUUCUCUCACUUUUCCUGUAAAAGGGAAAUAAGUGCAGAUGCACGUACUGCUGUUCUCUGUGCCCAAGGCACAGGAUGCUGAUCCCAGCGACAUGAGGACCCAGCUGGAGACCCCAGCACAGCGUAUCAGGGUGGGAACCAUCCCUUUACUUCCUAAUGGGAUCAGUGCAGGUUUAUAGAGCUCUCUGCAAAAGAAGGGUUAACUUGAACUGUGCAUGCAGAGCAGCUGCUGAUCCACAAAUGAGCGUGUUCCAACAGGAACAAUAAAUCUUGUCCGUACCUGUGCUUGCUGGAGCCAGAUCCCAGCAGCACCAGCCACGGUUUCCGCCUAUCUCCACUGAGCGCUGCAGCACUUCACUGUGUGAGCUCUUUCCAGGCAGCCUGGAGGUGCUCCUUCCCUCUUCUUCUUCCCUCAGCAGCACGAGCUUAUCUUCUCAUUUUUAUUUCUUUUUUUCUUUCCAAUUAUUUGAUUAUCUUUUUUGCCUUGCGACACAUACGUUCCUGUUAUUUCCACCACAUUUCAGAGCAGCUGGAGGAGUUCAGCUGCAGGCACGUUCCUGACACCCACCCCAUGGCACUGACGCAGUGCAGGUGACCGUAAACCAGGAAUUUGGAUGGAGCAGGUCUAAUGGCAGCCACAUGGCGUGCUGGGUGCCAGUGGCCAUUUGUGGCCUACCGUUAGAUUGGGCUGCUAAGGGCAGAAGAAUCAAUCAUUGCAGAAAGAUGAGGGUGAGCUGGUUAGCCUGAGGCUGCUGGUUUCAUUCAGGAGGAGGAGGGGGCCAUUCAGGUUUCCUUGCUGUAGGAAAUAAGAUGAAAGCAAAUUCCCUCUUCUGCUUGGUCAAGGGGCUGCACCGGGGGAUCUGACAUAGAGGCUUUGGAGCGUGUCCAGAGAAGGGCAAUGGAGCUGUGAGGGGUUGGGAGCACAGUCCUAUGAGGAGCGGCUGAGGGAACUGGGAUGGUUCAGUUUGGAAAAGAAGAGGCUCAGGGGAGACCUUAUUGCUCUCUACAACUCUCAGAAAGGAGACUGUGGUGAGGUGGGGUCAGCCUCUUCUCCCAGGUAACAGCCAUAGAAUGAGAGGAGAUGGCCUCAGGUUGCGCCAGGGGAGGUUCAGGUUGGAUAUUAGGACAUCAUUUUUCUCAGAAGGAGUGGUGAUGCAGUGGAACAGGCUGCCCAGGGAGGUGGUGGGAUAGAUGUCACGCUGAAUUACGUGGUCUAGAGCGCUCACGUGCAUGGGUUGGUGGUUAGAUUAGAUGAUCUUAGCGGUCUUUCCACUCCUUAUGGUUCUGUUUCCUUAGGGUCAGUCUGAUGUGACACUGAGUGGUCUCUGAAACUGUUGUUUGACUUUUUCUAUUUUAGCUUCAUAGGAUGUGUUCUGAAAGCUCCAAACUGUUAUGAGAACGUCUUUCUCAGGCCUUUGCCUUGAAGCUGCAGCACUUUAUGUGCUUAUGAUCAGCCCUCCUGUGGUGAAUGCACAGCAACAUCCUCUUUCUGCUCUGACCCAUCCCAUCUGCUGGUUUGCAUUCGGUCGUCUUGGCACUGUCCUGCUCCCUGAUCUUCUCUUUCUUUCCUCUACUUAUGAUUCAAGGCAACUUUUGUAUCACCAAAAUGAUUUACUUUAAUAACACAGUCAACUUAAGAGAAAAACAGCGUUUCAAGCUUACCUUCUAUACUAAUCCACUGCCCUCCUGAGUUAUGUUAUUUUUCUAUGAUCCUGUGGCACUGAAUUUGACCUAUUUCUACUGCUUUUUACUGUGCAUGGCUGUAGCACAGGAUGGUUUAUUUUUCGACAGCUCCAGCUUUGUAAACUUUUCUGUGAGCUGUGGGGAAAAAGCGGCCAUUUUAGCACAUAAGUGGGAUAAACUUCCAACAGAUGCAUUUCCCAGGCAGGAACUGGUCUGUAAAAUAUUGCCACUUUGCAUGUGGUCAGGAAUAAGGCUGACUAUUGUAUCUUUAAUUAUAUAUGCUAAGUGAGUUGAUUAAAAAAUAAAAAAUUAAAAAAAAAAUGGCCAAGCAGACAAAACAGAAGUAUCCUUGAUCUACAUCUAAAUAUAUGUUUUUCAAAGGAAGCUGUAGCUUUUUGUGAUGCUUUUGUAUCCCAAUAGCUGGCAUUGAUUUCAGCCUGCCAGCUUGCAUUGACUGUUGAUGAUAAGGACAUUUGAUAACAUGUUGGUUUUUAAUAAAGCUCUUCUUUUCCCCAGAGAUGCGUGGAUCAGGUCACCUUCUUAGGUUUGCCCUUCUGUACUUGAUGCAAGAUUCAGUAUCUCCAGCCUUUAUUUAUUUUAGCCAAUUUGCAAAAUUAGCACCUAGAUCCUUGAAUGCAGUACUUUAUUGGGAUAUAUUCUCUCCAUGUCCAUUCCCAGAACUGAGAACCAGCUCUGUGUUGCAGGCACCCAGGGAGUGGUUUCCCUUCAUCUGCUUGUUUGGUUUGGUGCACGCACACCCAGCCAGCAAACCAGGCCUGUUCCCUUUACAAAGAAACAUGGUUUUAUUUAUUACAAGUCAUUUGGCUUUUAAAUUAUCCUUGGCGUUAAACCCUCAUCUGCUUUGCAGAUGGAAGGCAGUACUUACCAAACUGUCUUUAUUGUCUGGGGUAUCCCCAGCCCAGUCAAACCGUUCUGAUGUCCUUCCGACCACUUUCAUCUUAACGUUGUUCCUGAGGCUCAGCUGGGCUCCCUGGAUUUCCCAGGCAGGCAGUAGUCAGCAUGUUCUCUGCAAGCUGUGAUGAGCAGAGAUGGGGCUCUUCUCUCGAGCUGGUUGGAAGCCAUCUAUGGUUUGAAAAUCGUAUCAGUGCUGUUAGCUGAAAAUAAUCAGUUGUUGCUACAUCACUAGUCCUAAUGGUGGGAAAAAAAAACCCAACUGCUGCUCCUAAUGAGAUCAUCUGCAGGAAGACUGUACCCUUCCUUACCAGCUGGAUUCAUGGAGAGAAGCAGAGGAGGGACCUCUUUCCAGGUAUAAAUGAACGGAAUCACCAAAUUGUCUUUGAAGGGAAAAAAAAAAAUCAAGCUGUGUCUAUGUACAGCUUCCUUCAGUUUCUAAAACUCUAUUUUUGGAAAUUUAAAAGCUUUAAAAAGCCUGGAGGAAUCCCAGGCGUACAUACGGACUGGGAGGAGCAAUCCUCGAAAGUAGCCCUGCAGAGAAGGACCUGAGGGUCCUGGUGGAUGAAGAAUUUAUCAUGAGCCAGCAGCGUGCUUUUGGAGCUUGGAAAGCAAAUGGUAACCUGGGCUCCAUCAGAAGAGGGGUGGCCAGUAGGGAGAGGGAGGUGAUUGUCCCUCUCUAUUCUGCCCUUGUGAGGCCCCAUCUGGAGUACUGCGUCCAGGUAUGGAGCCCUCAGUACAAGACAGGGAGCUGUUGGAGAGGGUCCAGAGGAGGGCCACAAAGAUGAUCAGAGAGCUGGAGAACCUCCUCUACAGAGACACGCUGAGGGAGCUGGGCUUGUUCAGCCUGGAGAAAAGAAGGCUGCGGGGUGACCUCAUUGCAGCCUUCCGGUACCUGAAGGGAGCCUACAAACAGGAGGGGAGUCAACUCUUUACAAGAGUAGAUAAUGGCAGGACAAGGGGAAAUGGUUUUAAAUUGAAGGAGGGAAGAUUUAGGUUGGAUAUCAGGGGGAAGUCCUUUACCAAGAGAGUGGUGAGGUGCUGGAACAGGCUGCCCAGAGAGGUUGUGGAUGCCCCGUCCCUGCAGGUGUUCAAGGCCAGGUUGGAUGGGGCCCUGGGCAGCCUGGUCUAGUAUUAGAUAUGGAGGUUGGUGGCUCUGCCUGUGGCAGGGGGUUGGAGCUUGAUGGUCCUUGAGAUCCCUUCUAACCCAAGACAUUAGUAGAGGGUCAGACAAGGUGAUCUCCAAAGGUCCCUUCCACCCCUUACAAUUCUGUGUGUGAUUCUGUGAUUAUUCAGCAAGCAGGUUAAUGACGCUUCUUGUAUUUAUGUAGAACUAAAUGACUGCAUGAGCUGUAGCCACGUUUUAUUAACUCCUUCCUCUGUUUGUGCAGAGUCUGUGCAAUUAUUAUGAAAUAUACUUAUUGCAUAAAGUCAGGGCAGAUCUUCAAACUGGGUCUUCAUGUCGUCAACUCUUUCUUAAUGCAGUUUAUUACACCAUAACUAAAUGGCACCAUCUAUGACCUGCAUGGGGCUGUAGAAUCUUAUUAAGGCACGUUAAAAGGAACUAGAAGCCCUACAUGAAGUAAUUUAGCGUUGCUCACUCACCAGGCAGAUGCAUCCUCAUCCUAACAGGACCCAACAAAGGGCGUGAGCCUUGUGGUGGGGACAGGGCGAUCCUGUAGGACAACCUGGGAACAACUGAGCCUCUGGCAAAACGCUUUGGGCUGCUGCUGAUUGAGUGAGUCACAAAGCUAAGCCUUGUGAAGCUGGUAAAUUUCACCCAAUACAGCUUACGUGGAUUUUGGCUUUGAUCCAGCAAAGCACUUAAGCACAUGCUUAAUUAUAAGCAAGUGACAUCAAGCAAUUUAGUUAAGCACGUGUUUAAGCGUGGCGUUGGGCUAAAGACUUUAUUUAGAGAAACAUAGGAGUGUUUGUAAGCCCUAGAAGAGAAUGAAGCUGAAGGCCUCAUGAGGAACCACGCACGACACAAAGUUGUGGAGGUGCAGACGCUUCGGGUGCAGAGCUGUUCCAAGGAACCUAAGGAGAUUUGGCCUCCAGCAGUUCCCCAUGUCGUUUGGAGUCAUGGAGAACACCACGAUCAAUGAGAUGACCGUCUGUUGAUUUUGGAUUUCUGGCUGGACAUCAAGGCAUCCCAUGGCUGCUGUCCCUUCACAUGCACCGCUGGCUGGGUCCCAGUGGGCACGCAGGCUGGGGGAAUCAUAGGAUAGUUAAGGUUGUAAAAGACCUCUAUGAUCACGCAGUCAAACCACCAGGCCAUCCCCAUUGUGUCCCUCAGUGCCACAUCUCCAUGGUUCUUGAAUGCCUCCAGGGGUGAUGACUCCACCACCUCCCCGGGCAGCCUGUGCCAGUGCAUCACCACUCUUUCUGAGAAGAAAUGUUUCCUAACAUCCAACCUGAACUUCCCCAGCACAUCUUAAUGCCUACUGCUGUUACGUGGGAGAAGAGGCCAACACCCAACACAGCCUCCCUUCAGGGAGCUGCAGAGAGUGCUGAGGUCUCCCCUGAGCUCCAGACUGAACAAUCCCAGAUCCCUCAGCUGCUCGCCAUGAGAUGUUCUCCAGCUCCUUCACAGCUCCACUGCCCUUCUCUGGACGUGAUCCAUGGCCCCACUGUCUUUCUCGCAGCGAGGGGCCCAACACCGAACACAGCACUCGAGGCGCAGCCCCCCCACGGCCGAGUACAGCCACGGCGAAGCCCUCCGCUGUUGAAGCUGAGGAGCCGCCACACAGAGCCGUGCGGGUGCAACCGCUUUGGGUGCGGAGCUGUUCUGAGGAACGGCUGCACGUGAGGGAGAUGCGGCCUCCGGUCGUUCCCCAGAUCAUGUGGGGUUGUGGCGAUCACGGAGGGUCGGGACUUCUGGCCGCAGCCCCUUCACGCACACUGCUGGCCGCGUCCCACGGGGAGAAGGGGAACCGCGGCGUAGUUCCCUCCAGCAUCGCCGUACCAUCUCCGCCGGCACCGAGGCACUGACAACUCUGCUCCACGCACCUCGAGCGGGACGGAAACCAAGGAUGGAAGCGAAGAGAAGGAGCGCAGCGCGCAGCCCACCCCCGCUGACCGCGCCCGGCUCGGGGACGCGCU
This is a long non-coding RNA of Gallus gallus (chicken), 6228 nucleotides long. Lineage: Eukaryota; Metazoa; Chordata; Aves; Galliformes; Phasianidae. The record is from Ensembl.